AACGAACGUUGGCGGCGUGGAUGAGGCAUGCAAGUCGAACGCGAAAGCCGCAAGGCGAGUAAAGUGGCGGACGGGCGAGUAACACGUAAUCAAGCUACCUGCGAGACGGGGAUAACUUCGGGAAACCGAAGCUAAGACCCGAUGGUCUUCUAGGAACGCAUGUUCCAUGAAGUAAAUGGGCGAGAUCCUCCGGGAUCGCCUGCUCGCAGAGGUGAUUGCGGCCCAUCAGCUAGUUGGUAGGGUAAUGGCCUACCAAGGCAACGACGGGUAGCCGGCCUUAGAGGGUGGUCGGCCGCACUGGGACUGAGACACUGCCCAGACUCCUACGGGAGGCUGCAGUCGAGAAUCUUCCGCAAUGGGCGAAAGCCUGACGGAGCGACGCCGCGUGGAGGAUGAAGGCC
RNAcentral lists this ribosomal RNA (401 nucleotides) under uncultured bacterium. RNAcentral's name for it is "bacterial SSU rRNA". It matches the Rfam family "Bacterial small subunit ribosomal RNA", at positions 29 to 416 of the family's 1533-position model. The record is from RNAcentral.